Molecule: ribosomal RNA, 384 nt
Filed under: uncultured bacterium
Lineage: Bacteria
Description: bacterial SSU rRNA
Rfam family: Bacterial small subunit ribosomal RNA
Source: RNAcentral
AUUGAACGCUGGCGGCAUGCCUUACACAUGCAAGUCGAACGGCAGCGGGCCUUCGGGUGCCGGCGAGUGGCGAACGGGUGAGUAAUGCAUCGGAACGUGCCAUUGAGUGGGGGAUAACGUAGCGAAAGUUGCGCUAAUACCGCAUAUUCUGUGAGCAGGAAAGCAGGGGACCGCAAGGCCUUGCGCUCUUUGAGCGGCCGAUGUCAGAUUAGCUAGUUGGUGAGGUAAGGGCUUACCAAGGCGACGAUCUGUAGCGGGUCUGAGAGGAUGAUCCGCCACACUGGAACUGAGACACGGUCCAGACUCCUACGGGAGGCAGCAGUGGGGAAUUUUGGACAAUGGGGGCAACCCUGAUCCAGCCAUGCCGCGUGAGUGAAGAAGGCC